Molecule: ribosomal RNA, 256 nt
Filed under: uncultured bacterium
Lineage: Bacteria
Description: partial 16S ribosomal RNA
Rfam family: Bacterial small subunit ribosomal RNA
Source: RNAcentral
UACGUAGGGGGCAAGCGUUGUCCGGAUUUAUUGGGCGUAAAGAGCGUGUAGGCGGCCGUACAGGUCAGCUGUGAAAACUCGGAGGCUCAACCUCGAGACGUCGGUUGAAACCGUACGGCUAGAGUCCGGAAGAGGAGAGUGGAAUUCCCGGUGAUAGCGGUGAAAUGCGCAGAUAUCGGGAAGAACACCCGUGGCGAAGGCGACUCACUGGACACAUAUUGACGCGUGAGGUGGCGAAAGCGUGGGGAGCAACAGG